This is a long non-coding RNA of Canis lupus familiaris (dog), 5345 nucleotides long. RefSeq lists it as uncharacterized. Lineage: Eukaryota; Metazoa; Chordata; Mammalia; Carnivora; Canidae. The record is from RefSeq and is a predicted model, not a curated record. The transcript has 4 exons.
AAUUGGAAGCCCUGGUGCCUGAUCGGCUACUAAAUCUCCAGCCCUGAGGGCUUCUAGACAGAGAGUUCUGGAAGCACCCAGUUGGCAGCCCAAGGUUGGAGCAAAUAAUGAUCUCACCAGGGCUUUUGCUCUGCAAAGGGAGCCGGUUGAAGGGUAGAGGGACCUACCAUAUUUGCAUGGUGGCAAUGACAUCUGAUUCCGCCUCUGAGCAUUGGCUAAGAGCCCUUGUGCAGUCAUCUCAGGGGAUGGCCUGAGCCGAGGCCAGCAGAUGAAGGGAUGGAGAGGACAUGGCAAGUGGCAUCGUCAUCAUGGUUCAGCCGUCUGGAGUUACUUGAACAGGCUUGAUGGUUAUGGUUUCUCUGAUGCUUUUGCAAAAUUGUUCCUGCAAAAGUACUUCAUCUUCGAGAAGACUUAUGGAAAGUACUCUAGAAUACAGAUUUCUGAUAACUUUGAGAUAAGAAAACCGAACUGGGAUCGUUGAGAACUAAAAUUGCCCUUUUUCCGAGGCCAUGCCAACUAACAUUGGACGACUUGACAUAAACUUCGGAGAAAUCACCACAGAAACUCAUGUAUGAACAGUCUUUGUGCCUGUGGCUGUGUGGGCGACUCUGAGAUCACCAGAGGCAUUCAGACUACAAACCAGGAAAAUCUGUCCAGUUGCCAUUGUCCGUUCUCACUCCAUCUGAAGAUGCUUCCAGUCUGACAUCUAGAAAUCUUUUCAACUAUUCAACCAGUGACCCGCAGAACUCUGUUGGUUUAUAAUUUGCUCCAGUAAUUAGCUGUUGUUGUUUUUUUUGUUUGUUUGUUUCCAUAGAAAUGCCUUAUUAAAUAUCUGGUUUUUUUUGCAUCAUGCAGGCCUAACUUUGGGAUCCCAGCUGCAUCACCACCUUCUAAAAUGAGACACAACUGUUUAACUGAACUGACAUAUUUUCAAGGCUAAGAGAUUAAUUCAGUGAAAUAAUGGAGCAAUAUUCCAAGAUGAAUACAAUCAAGGCCCACCACACUUAAGAAGAAAUUUCUCCUCCUCUUUAAUUGAGUAAAAGAAUUUAGAUAGGGAGCCUGUACCAGGAAGAGAGUUAUUACCGAAGAAAACUUUUUUCUUUUUUUUUUAACAGAAAAAAAUCUUAUCCACAUGCCAUGGCAAAUAUUUGUUUACCCAUUUUUGAUCUUCCCAUUUUUGGAUGGAUUGUCUUCCUCUCUUUAGAAGUCCUAGACCCCCACCUGCUUCAGGAUGGCAUAUAAACCUCAAUUGCCUGACUGUGGAGAGCCUCUCAUGUCUUUGUGGGGCUCCUAUAUGUGCAUAAUCAAAUUUGUUUUUCUCCUAUUAAUCUGUCUUAUGUCAAUUUAAUUAUUAGUUCAGCCAAAAAACCUAUAAGGGAAGAAGUAAAAAAUAUUUUCUCCCCUGUAAGAAGCAGUUCCCCCCUGUUGGUUUGCCACUGAGCUUAUAUCUUUGGUUCUUACCUACACAUCUGUUCCAAGCCCACUCCCUACUGUUUCUGAUUUGGGACUUUUACUUUGCCUAUAGCUCAGGGAAGGACCAAAGGAAGAGUAGGAAGAGGAGGAGAAACUGAGGAGUGAGGAACUUUGUUAGCCCGUGGGACCAUGGGAAGCAAACACCUGCGAAAAUUUUCCAGAAGGUGAAGAAUGUUAAAGAGAGCACAUGGGGUGCUGUGCUCAGUAAGUGCUUUCAACAUCUUCUAGCUAAAGAAACUGAGAUAUUCAGAAGUCAGGGAUUUAAAUGAGGACACUCCAUUAGUUUUCUAGGGCUGCCAUAACAAAGUCCUAUAGACUGGGUAAUUUAAACAACAGAGCUUUUUUAAAAAAUUUUAUUUAUUUAUUUGACAGAGAGAGAGCAUGAGAAAGCACAAGCAGUGGGAACAGCAGGAGAGGGAGAAUGGGCUCCCCAAUGAGCAAGGAGCCUCACUCUAGGUUCCAUCCCAGGAUCCUGGGAUCAUGACCUGAGCAGAAGGCAGAUGCUUAACAGACUGAGCCACCAGGUGCCCCUAAACGACAGAAAUGUAUUAUCUCACAGUCCUGGACGCUGGAAUUCCAAGAUCAAGGUGUUGGCAGGAUUGGCUGCUUCAAGGCCUCUCUCCUUGGCUCGCAGAUGGCCUGUUUCCCUGUCUCCACGUGAUUUUCCCUCUGUGCCAGUCUGUGUCCUAAUCUCCUUUCUUAUACUCGGUAUUGGAUUAGAGCUCAUCCAUAUGACUUCAUUUUACAUUAAUUACCUCUUCAAAAGCCCUACUUCCAUUCUGAGGCCCUAUUCACAUUCUGAGGUGCAGAGGGGUAGGACUUCCAGAGAUAAACUUUGGGGAAACCCAGUUUAGUCCAUAACAAUUACCCAGCCAAAUAAAGAUAGUAUAGCCCAGGGGUUAAACAGACUAUAUUCAGAGUCAGAGAGACUGGGGUUAGGGGCACCGGGGUGGCUCAGUCGGUUGGGCUGCUGGCUUUUGAUUUCAGCUUGGGUCAUGAUCUCAGGGUCCUGGGUGGCUCUGCACUCAGUGGGGAGUCUGCUUGAGAUUCUCUCUCUCCCUCUGCCCUUCCCCCCCACUUGCUCAUGUGUGCGUGUGCGCAUGUGUGUUCUCUCUCUUGCUCUCUCUCUAAAAUAAAUGAAUAACUUUUUUUUUUUAAAGAAAGACUGGGGUUAGAAUUCUGACUUUACACUUAAAAUCUCUUGGAACCUCGACUUUCUCCUCUGCAAUAAAAAUAAGUAUGGCUUUUGCCCUAUUAAAUGACAUGAGGUGUGCAAAUACGUGUAGAAUGUGAGGAUGUAGUAAGUACGCAACAACUUCCAGCUGUAGUAGGUAGUGGUGUUUUUGUUGCCAUCAUUGUUGUUAUUACUGGUUUCCUUUUACUGUAAAAAGGGGCUAAUAAAAUGCCCCCCUACUCAGAGCUGCCAGGAUAGUAUAGGACGCAUGGCAAGUAAGAAUAUGCUUUGCCUGCCACAGAGUAAGCUCUUAUAUGUUAAUUGUGGCCAUCGUCUUCAUGGAAUGAGAAGCUUGUUUCCCUAUAUUAUCCUACUGAGUAGGAUCUGAUGUUGCAAAACUGUGUCUGUAUUUAAUAAAAUGCAAUUUUCUUGUUGGGACAGUCUUACCCAGAGAGACAACCUACUUCAGGCAGGAGCUCAUAUUUUAGUUAUUAAAAUCUGAAAUGAAGCAACAUCAGAGGAUGCACAAGUUAUAAAAUUAUUUAGCUUAAGGGGGGGUGGGACCCAUAUUUCCAAAUUGCAGAGCAAAGAAACGUUCGGGUUCAAUGUGGGUGAUUAACCGUUUGAUAUCUUGUCAGGCUUCCACAAAGUCUUCCUGUAUUAUAUAUAUAUAUAUAUAUAUAUAUAUAUAUAUAUAUAUAUAUAUAUAUCUUGCUGUGUCUCAUGUAAUUAAGAAAUGGUGCUGGGUUCUUGUCAUCCACCAUUAAGGCCUAGUCACAGGUAGUUUCAUAACAUCUGCUUCUUGCAACCUUCUAAUUAUCCAUAAAAAUCUGGCAGAAGGACCUGACAGUUUAUCUGGAACACAGAAUAUGAAUACAAAACAGGGUGCUUGGCUUCUAGAUACAAAGUGAUGGCACAAAACAGGUACUCUCUGAGCUCUUAUUUUGCAUGCAGCGAUGUCACCUGUUCAAAUCAGAGUUAGGUGCAUGUCUUCUCAAUAAAGACUCAAUUUUGAAAAGCAUCUUUUGACAAAAUGAAUGUGGGUCAGGAAUAUGUUAAUGGUGCUUUGUCAGAAUCUGCUGUCAGCUGCUGCUCUGUUAUGCCUUGUGCAAUCCAGCCAGACACCGUGACUUCCCUGCCUGUACCUGCAGGCUCUGAGCUGUCCGCGCCCUGAUACGAAGAGCUGGGGAGCUCUUGACUGGACCAGACACCUGCCUCCAGCAAGGUCGGCUCCUCGCCUCUCGUCACUGGCUUUCCUUGUAGAGGCCGCCUUUCUUGCCCACCGACCUGCCUGGCUUUCCGACUCAUCAGCUCACCUUGACUGCAGGAAGUGCAUCUCCUCCAGUCGAGUGGCCAGCUAAGACACGAUGACUUGAAAACCAGAGGAAGAAGAGCAAAGUCAAGCUGAGACGCGGAUCCUGGUCUUCUGAUGAAACGAGGGGAGGGGGGGUGGGUGGGGGCAACUGGGCUUUGAAUCUUGGAUGCUCUUCUUCACUACUCCGAGUGUGGGCCUGGCACCACAGUGGCAUCACCUGGGAUCUUGUUAAAAAUUCAGAAUCUCAGGCUCCAUCCCACAUCUGCUGAAUCAUUUGUACGGGAUUCCCAGGUGACUUGUAUGCACAUUAAAGCAGCGCUACUGGGUUUAUUAAUUUGUAGAAACGCUUAAAAAUUAACCUCCUUGGAGGGGCCCAGGGAAGUUGCUGCCAUUACUGGCAGGGGCUUAACUGAGAAGAAGUCUGGACCUCAUUACAGUAGAUAAAGUAACUUAGCUAAAAGCUAAGCUUUCAGGAGGGCAAAGGGGAGUGAUGUGGGCUUUUGAGGUGAGGCCAUUAACAGUUGGAUUAUAGCACAAUGGGCCAUAAUGGGGUAGUCAUGAAACGUAAUUGAUACGGUGAUGUUAUACAAAAGGACACUAGCUUUGUUCCAGCCUCUUUCUUCAGAGGAGGCGGAUGGUAGGAGUGGGGCGAUCCGACAAAGGAAUUCAUCCUAUAAACAUUGUAGUUUCUCCUCUGGCCUGCUCUGUGUCCAGCUUCAGGUGAGCCCUUCCUUGGUGUGGGCGCCCACCAGGUGAGCAGUCUCCAGCCACGACCCUGGGGGGCCUGAGUGGCCCACCCUGCCCCAUGCCCACCUGUGAAACCCCUGCAGGUGAGCUCCAGCCUGGGGAUGGCAUGCCUGGUAUCAGGCAGGCUCGGAUUCUGGAAAUCUCUUCAAUGGGACCCACAGAGCUUGGCCCCCGUAUGACACUGCUCCUUAAAGCACAGGGUGCUGAGCUCAGAGCCACGGCAGCCCCUUCACCGAGCAACUGUUUGCUCUUUCUUGAUUUAUUUCUCUUGAUUGCUCCACUUUCUUGGGAGCUCAGAACUUGUUUUCUUUGUUAGCGCUCUACCAGUUUCUUUUCCACGAGUACUUUCCACCUGCCUCCGGGAAGAUGUCAUCAAAAAUGGAAAUGCCAUUUAUCCUGGAAAAACGGUUAUGUAUUUCUGAUUUAUGCCACACCUAUUUAAAAAAAAAAGUCCCACAGUAUGAUACAUGGACUGAAUGUGAAGCUGAAAAAUGAAAAUCACCUAAAAUCAAGGUGAUAGGAGGACAUCAUUAUUCUAGAAGCUAAAUUGGAGCAUAGUUGGGACUGUGUUACACAGGGAUUUUUAUUUAUUUUUAGCAUUUCACUUAUUUAUGUGAGAGACAGCAGAACAGGAGA